ACGGGAGGCAGCAGUGAGGAAUAUUGGUCAAUGGGCGAGAGCCUGAACCAGCCAAGUAGCGUGAAGGAUGACUGCCCUACGGGUUGUAAACUUCUUUUGCCGGGGGAUAAAAAACGGGACGUGUCCCGUCUUGCAGGUACCCGUGCGAAUAAGGACCGGCUAAUUCCGUGCCAGCAGCCGCGGUAAUACGGAAGGUGCGAGCGUUAUCCGGAUUUAUUGGGUUUAAAGGGAGCGUAGGCGGCCUUUUAAGUCUGCGGUCAAAUGUCAGGGCCCAACCUUGGCAUGCCGUGGAUACUGAUGGGCUUGAAUACACGCAAGGCAAGUGGAAUUCGUCGUGUAGCGGUGAAAUGCUUAGAUAUGACGAAGAACUCCGAUUGCGAAGGCAGCUUGCUGGUGUGCGAUUGACGCUGAGGCUCGAAAGUGCGGGAAUCAAACAGGAUUAGAUACCCUGUA
RNAcentral lists this ribosomal RNA (453 nucleotides) under uncultured Paraprevotella sp. Its description in RNAcentral is "partial 16S ribosomal RNA". It matches the Rfam family "Bacterial small subunit ribosomal RNA", at positions 341 to 791 of the family's 1533-position model. Lineage: Bacteria; Pseudomonadati; Bacteroidota; Bacteroidia; Bacteroidales; Prevotellaceae. The record is from RNAcentral.